Molecule: ribosomal RNA, 368 nt
Filed under: uncultured archaeon
Lineage: Archaea
Description: bacterial SSU rRNA
Rfam family: Archaeal small subunit ribosomal RNA
Source: RNAcentral
AUUAUUGGGCCUAAGCAUCCGUAGCCGGUCAUGCAAGUCCCUCCCGUUAAAUCCACCUGCUUAACAGAUGGGCUGCGGAGGAUACUACAAGGCUAGGAGGCGGAAGAGGCAAGCGGUACUCAGUGGGUAGGGGUAAAAUCCUCUGAUCCAUUGAAGACCACCAGUGGCGAAGGCGGCUUGCCAAUACGCGCUCGACGGUGAGGGAUGAAAGCUGGGGGAGCAAACCGGAUUAGAUACCCGGGUAGUCCCAGCUGUAAACGAUGCAGACUCGGUGAUGGGCCGGCUUUAUGCCGGCUCAGUGCCGCAGGGAAGCCGUUAAGUCUGCCGCCUGGGGAGUACGGUCGCAAGACUGAAACUUAAAGGAAUUG